This 253-nucleotide ribosomal RNA is filed under the name uncultured bacterium. Its description in RNAcentral is "partial 16S ribosomal RNA". It matches the Rfam family "Bacterial small subunit ribosomal RNA", at positions 524 to 776 of the family's 1533-position model. The record is from RNAcentral.
UACGGGGGGGGCAAGCGUUGUUCGGAAUUACUGGGCGUAAAGGGCGCGUAGGCGGCCUGCUAAGUCGGACGUGAAAUCCCUCGGCUCAACCGGGGAACUGCGUCCGAUACUGGAUGGCUUGAGUUCGGGAGAGGGAUGCGGAAUUCCAGGUGUAGCGGUGAAAUGCGUAGAUAUCUGGAGGAACACCGGUGGCGAAGGCGGCAUCCUGGACCGAUACUGACGCUGAGGCGCGAAAGCCAGGGGAGCAAACGGG